This is a non-coding RNA of Phasianus colchicus (ring-necked pheasant), 4644 nucleotides long. Lineage: Eukaryota; Metazoa; Chordata; Aves; Galliformes; Phasianidae. The record is from RefSeq and is a predicted model, not a curated record.
AAUUUUUAGUUUGGAAUAGGAAUGUUGCAAAAUUCUUCUUCCCCUUUUUUGAGUUCUGGAUAAAGGAAGACUACAUGAGCAUAAAACUGUAUCACAGAAUCAUAAACUAAUUGAGAACAGAGUGAGCUUCUGGAGAUCACCGUUCAACCAUCCCUCCUGAAGCAGCAUCAGUUAGAGAAGGUUGCCCAGGACUGUAUCAUUGGAUUUUGAAUAUCCCCAAGAAUAAACUCCACAGUCUCUCUGAACUACCUGUCUCAUCUCUCAUCCUUCCAAUUGGUAUCACUGAGAAGAGCCUGGCUGCAUCAUUUUUGCAUCUUCCCAUCAGUGACUAAGCAUCUAAUUUGAAUCAACUGUGGGAGAAGAGAGGAUUGAAGAUGCUGUGACACCUGGAAACUGUCUGAAGGAAAACAAUUCUGAUACUCGUGAAGCAUUUGGUGUCUAUUGUAAACAUGAAUACAGCACAAAGCUUGACCCAAUUUGCAUGCAGUAGCAUCUAGUGACCCACUCCUAAAUCAGAGCAGUGCAGCUGCCAGGUGCUACAUGAGCAAUGAGGUGUGUGGGUUUGGGGUGCAGAGGUAGUUUUUAGUUUGAUGUUUUGGCUCUUCAGCUUAGAUUGCUCCUAGCCUUUUUAUAUCCAUAACUUGUUUUCCUUCUGCUAAUCUUUAAUUAAAUCUUUCUUUAAUUUAUUCUUUAACUAAAAACUCCUUGCAAACAAAAUAGAGAAGAACACAGAAAUCUUUCAAUCACCUUAAAAUAUAGUGGCUUAAAGACACUUGCAGACAACUGCUCAGCUCACCCGGACAUGUUUUCUUUCCUAGCUUUGAUACCAUGAAGUGCUUUGUGCCUAUUCUACCUGCUUAUCACUUAUUAAAAGCACAAUAGGAUGCCAUUGUGGAGAGUAUCCCAGAGCAUUUGCUCAUGGCUAUGCAGUUUGUCAGUGAGAUGCAGUAGAUAAACCUCACAGUUCUAAGUGCCAGAACAAACAAUUGCUCCAGACAUUCUAGAAAGACAAGGGAAAGAGAAUAUACAGAAAUACAUCAAAGAGGAACGAGAAGUACUACCUAUCUGAAGUCCUCCAUAUAUCUAGCUCUACGCCAUACUGCCUAUUAGAGUGGAAGUGAAUAUACAAUUAACUAUAUCUAGGAGGGAGAAAGAGAGGAGGGAUCAGAAAAUCCCCUUUAACCUCCCUUUUUCUUUUCCAGAUGGUAAACCUGCCUAAAGAAAUCUAUACAGAACAGAUGAAAUAUUUAACUUAUCUGCAGUUGCUCCACUGGCUAGAUUUGUACUAUCUGCUAAUGGUCUGUCUUAACCAGAAAUAUGCUGAUUUCCAGCCACACCUCUAAGACAAAGUGUCUUAAGUGUAUAAAAAUCAAGCUUCCAUUUUUAACAUUUUACUUCUGCUGCUUGGGAUCCUUAGACCUCAACUAGGGUUGAGUCUGACUACAUGCUGGGUGAGUCCCAAAAUACAGCUAAAUCCAGAGGCAUUUCUGUAAUCUGGUUCAGCAUAAGAGCUUGAUGGUAAACUGUCCUAGUUUGGUUUGUUCUUUUUCCCCCCACACUUUGUAAGCCAUGCUGGUACACAUGCUCUCACUCACUUAACAAAAGUUAGCAACAAAGUUUUGUGUUAAAGCAUGAAUUACAGUCAUGAGUCAUCUUGCUUCUGCCUUCCUAGUAUAGACAGGGAAAUGUUGUAAGUGCUGUGUGUUACGUAAAAUAAGGAUUGGCUUUUUUUUUUUCUGACCAGGGUAAGGAUUGUACAGCUUGGUUUUGCACAGAAUUAUACUGCCUAGAAAGUGUAUUUCUUAAAAGGGAAAAUUAAUGUAUUUGUAUGGCAGCCAGAUGUAUUAACAGAAUAAGCUUUCCUUCAGGGCUACUUGAAUGAAACGUGAAAUUCUAAAGUAAGAAAAGUAAGACAAGUUCUUUGGAGCACGAUAACUCAAGAGUUGAGAAAAUGAGUUCCUACCAUCUUAGUUACUUUCUAUUUCACAUAAGUUACUGCAAAAUGCUUAGCAAAUUGGGCUUAAAUUGUUCUCCCCACAUUUCAACUGUAGUUAAAUUAUAACAUUCUUUAUAAUACUUUGAACUACUGUUGGUGUCCCAGUUCAGUAUGCAGAGAAGACAAUCAGGUUGUAAUCACUAUUAUACUCCAAAGGUUGGUUUUAAUUAACAAGAGCAAAGUGAUUUUAAUGAAAAGGGGAAAGUUUGUUUAAACAAAAGCUAUUAAUCUAAAAAGGGUUCAGAUAUUAUAAUCCCAAUAGAGUUCUUAAAAAUUUUUAAGGAAAUAAUGAAGGCAAGAAGAACAAGAGGUUGAGAGUUUAAAGAAAUCUUCUAUUCAAAGUCAGCACCCAGAAGAAAAAAUAAGUUGCAAUCUCUGAAUUGAAAGUUCUCUACCUGUUCUCACUUGAAACAAGGCCUCCCUUGCAGUUUUGUGUCCCAAAACUUUCAGUUUUCUGCAGGGGCUCAAUAGAUUACGUAGAUUUAAUUAUCACAGUCUAUCAUGGUGGUCAGUCCUUGACAAUUAUAAUAGUGAUUUUUAGGGAUAAAACAAUCUCAAGAAACCCUAAGUGGAAUGAAAUACUUAGACAAAACAAUGAAAAACUACAUCUAGCAAACUAAAUCAAGAGGUUGUCUUUUUUCCAUAAUCUUCUCUAAAGUCUGUAGUAUAAAAUGGUAACAAACACAAAAUUGCUGUAACUACCAUAAGAUAUUGGAUCAAUAUUUUUUCCAUCCUUAGAUAUCAGUGGCUUUCCAUUGUUACAAAAGGGAUAGAUUCAAAGUUCAGCCUGUAAAUGCAGCUACAGUCUAUAAGGCUUAUUUCUUCUCUGCAGCGACCUGGAUCAGUGUUUAUCUUUAGAUAAUACAAUGGAGCAAAUGUUUUUGUUUUUUUUAUAAGCAGAGAAAAUGCAGUUUAGUCUCUAUCAGUAUACUAAUUCUGGAUUGGACACUAGUUGUUGUAGCAAAAACAGUUUUUUAGGCUGAAUAUGAAAUGUUUUCUUGUCUGAUUAAGAAACUUUUAUCUACUUCCUACUUGUCAUUUCAUACUUGCCUCAUUAAAUAUAAAGCAACAAUAGUUAUAUGCCUAGAGAUUAUCAUGCAGAGUUUCUUUGAUAGCUGGGAACAGCAGCAUUACAAGCAACUAAAGUGCAAAAGCAAGGCUGUAUACCUAGGCCAAUGCACAUUGUGUGUUCUCUGGAGAAAAUGACUUCUCCUUCUACUUCCCAUUGCUCAGCUUACCCAGCACGUCUCAAGCCAUGUCUAAUUACCAUUUCUACCUUUUAGUCAUACCAAAGAGGCACAAUUAUAUCAGACAAAACACGUAUCCUAUUUCUGCAUUAUUGAUAGAAUAUUACUUUACCCCUUCUCUCUGAGCUCUUACCAUAUCUAUUUCUUCACCCACAGCUUUGCAUCUGCGUGCACAUUUCUAGCUCACUAAAGGGGCUUCUGAUGCUUUCUUAUGACACUUGCAGAAUACAUUUAUUAUUUAUGGUUCUAUUAUUUUCUUGCUACCUUUCCUAUGCUUUUUUUUUCCACCUAUCACUGGAAUGGAAACACCUUAGACAUCAAAACUUGGUCUCACCCAUUUCUCUCAGAACCAUGCUAUUCAAGUGUGACUUGAGUAGAUGUAGACAAUAGAUUUAUGAAAUAGGAAAUGCAUAUUUUGCACUCACUCUGAAGCAUAAUGGAAAGUACUUCUUUUUCCGAGUAUACUCUACUCUAUUAAAAUUUUUUCUCUUUGUAAAACCUUAGCUUUCAAAUAUGCAAGACCAGGACAGCUUUUGUGUUUGGGAAAGUGGACAAAAAACAACACAGUGUAGUGCUUCUUACAGACUUUGUGUUAUUUCAUUAUGAUGAAUGAAAUUAUGACAUCAUGACAAUACGACAUUAUGAGUGGAAUAAAUAGAUCAGAGAGGUCAACCUAUGUGUGGUGACUGCUCUGAAUAACUCUCUGUGUUGCCUGGGUCAUCAUCACUCCAGAUUUGAAGUGGAUAGAUCUGAGACAUCUCACGUAAAAGACAGGCGUAUAAAGUUCUCAUUGUAUUUGAGAAAGGAAUGCCUAUUAAUUACCCUUUUCCUUUAGAAUUCUUGAAGUGCUCUCCAUAUUGUCUUUUAGUAGGUAUAGCUGGGAGAGAAGCCAAUGAGGAAGACCAAGAAGAAACAGGAAUUGAAAACCAUUUUAUGAUUCCAAAAAGCUACUGGCACUGUAAGAAUUCUGCUCUGACUUACUACUGGAAGGCUGAUCUAUAAUGCAUUUAAAAAGAGAGAGAGAGCACGCUCUAUCUUGCCCCUAGGUACACAAAGGAUUGAAAGCAAGGAUCAAAAAUGCAGUAUGAAGCUGCAUCUUUAUAUUUAGCUUAUGAUUUUAGAUUCAGCUUUUUUCUGAUGAAUUUUUGUGAAGUCUUCAUUUUGCUUCCAAAUAAUUAUUUCAACAAUAGCACUUAAUGCCAUAAGUACCAAGAGACAUUUUGAUGUUAGGCAAAAUCAGCCUUAAUAAAUGCUUCUACCUCCAAAGUUACCUUGUGCAAUUUCAGUUCCUUAAGCUGAAUGUCUGGUCCGUGCUAAGCUCUGAAGCAUCCCCUGAAUCCAUGAAGAGAGGUAAACACCUCUACGCACUGGAACACUUGUUUCAGGAGAGGUUGCCAUCUA